CCUACGGGUGGCUGCAGUGGGGAAUAUUGGACAAUGGGGGCAACCCUGAUCCAGCCAUGCCGCGUGUGUGAAGAAGGCCCUCGGGUUGUAAAGCACUUUCAGUGAGGAAGAACGCCUGGUGGUUAAUACCCAUCAGGAAAGACAUCACUCACAGAAGAAGCACCGGCUAACUCCGUGCCAGCAGCCGCGGUAAUACGGAGGGUGCGAGCGUUAAUCGGAAUUACUGGGCGUAAAGCGCGCGUAGGUGGCUUGAUAAGCCGGUUGUGAAAGCCCCGGGCUCAACCUGGGAACGGCAUCCGGAACUGUCAAGCUAGAGUGCAGGAGAGGAAGGUAGAAUUCCCGGUGUAGCGGUGAAAUGCGUAGAGAUCGGGAGGAAUACCAGUGGCGAAGGCGGCCUUCUGGACUGACACUGACACUGAGGUGCGAAAGCGUGGGUAGCAAACAGGAUUAGAUACACCAGUAGUC
RNAcentral lists this ribosomal RNA (465 nucleotides) under Vreelandella stevensii. RNAcentral describes it as "partial 16S ribosomal RNA". It matches the Rfam family "Bacterial small subunit ribosomal RNA", at positions 338 to 795 of the family's 1533-position model. The record is from RNAcentral. Lineage: Bacteria; Pseudomonadati; Pseudomonadota; Gammaproteobacteria; Oceanospirillales; Halomonadaceae.